UACGUAGGGUGCAAGCGUUGUCCGGAAUCACUGGGCGUAAAGGGCGCGUAGGUGGCUUGCUAAGCGCGUGGUGAAAGCCCGGGGCUCAACCCCGGGUCGGCCGUGCGAACUGGCGAGCUGGAGCACUGUAGAGGCAGGUGGAAUUCCGGGUGUAGCGGUGGAAUGCGUAGAGAUCCGGAAGAACACCGGUGGCGAAGGCGGCCUGCUGGGCAGUUGCUGACACUGAGGCGCGACAGCGUGGGGAGCAAACAGG
This 253-nucleotide ribosomal RNA is filed under the name uncultured bacterium. RNAcentral describes it as "partial 16S ribosomal RNA". It matches the Rfam family "Bacterial small subunit ribosomal RNA", at positions 524 to 776 of the family's 1533-position model. The record is from RNAcentral.